Molecule: ribosomal RNA, 433 nt
Filed under: uncultured bacterium
Lineage: Bacteria
Description: partial 16S ribosomal RNA
Rfam family: Bacterial small subunit ribosomal RNA
Source: RNAcentral
AACGAACGCUGGCGGCAUGCCUAACACAUGCAAGUCGAACGAUCCCUUCGGGGAUAGUGGCGCACGGGUGCGUAACGCGUGGGAACCUGCCCUUAGGUUCGGAAUAACUCAGAGAAAUUUGAGCUAAUACCGGAUAAUGUCUUCGGACCAAAGAUUUAUCGCCUUUGGAUGGGCCCGCGUUGGAUUAGCUAGUUGGUGGGGUAAAGGCCUACCAAGGCGACGAUCCAUAGCUGGUCUGAGAGGAUGAUCAGCCACACUGGGACUGAGACACGGCCCAGACUCCUACGGGAGGCAGCAGUGGGGAAUAUUGGACAAUGGGCGAGAGACUGAUCCAGCAAUGCAGCGUGAGUGAUGAAGGACUUAGGGUUGUAAAGCUCUUUUACCCGGGAUGAUAAUGACAGUACCGGGAGAAUAAGCCCCGGCUAACUCCGUG